This 159-nucleotide ribosomal RNA is filed under the name Colletotrichum sp. RNAcentral describes it as "5.8S ribosomal RNA". It matches the Rfam family "5.8S ribosomal RNA". Rfam says of the family: 5.8S ribosomal RNA (5.8S rRNA) is a component of the large subunit of the eukaryotic ribosome. It is transcribed by RNA polymerase I as part of the 45S precursor that also contains 18S and 28S rRNA. The record is from RNAcentral. Lineage: Eukaryota; Fungi; Ascomycota; Sordariomycetes; Glomerellales; Glomerellaceae. RNAcentral also lists the same sequence under 1 other name.
AAAACUUUUAAUAACAGAUCUCUUAAUUCUAGCAUUAAUAAAAAACAUAGCGAAAUACGAUAAGUAAUAUAAAUUACAGAAUUCAGUAAAUCAUCAAAUCUUUAAACGCAUAUUACGCCCACUAACAUUCUAGCGGGUAUGCCUAUUUAAGCGUUAUUU